GUAAAUGGUAAUAUGCUCUAAACCGCUCUGGUGACAAACUUUGCUGCCUUGUUUCCAAUCGUCCACAUGGCUGCGAGAACCUAUUCAAGGCCAUCUGGGACUGCCUCCUGAGGGCCUUCAGGCGUGUCAAGGCUACCUGUGUCCUGCAUAACUUAAUGGACACGAGGACCAGGAGGGGGAUCUACAGCUUGCCGCCGUGUGCCAGAGGAGAGGUCUACAGGAUGCUUCAAGGAUGGGGGCAAACAACUCAGCACAGGAGGCAAUCCAUGUGCGGGAGAUCUUCACCACCUUCAAAGAGGGUGAGGGUGCUGCCUGUACAAAAACAAAAAAGGCUCUUUCAAGAGUCGCCCAUAUUGAGAACAAUUACACACAUCUCUCGUCUCCAGUACUCUUCCCUGCCGCUGGAGGGCCCAGCAGACAGACUGAUUGGAAAACAAACAGCACAAUAUUCUAUGUCUGGCUUGAAUAUGGGUAUAAGGCAAUAA
This 485-nucleotide long non-coding RNA is filed under the name Oncorhynchus kisutch (coho salmon). Its description in RNAcentral is "lncRNA (ENSOKIG00005013999.1)". The record is from RNAcentral. Lineage: Eukaryota; Metazoa; Chordata; Actinopteri; Salmoniformes; Salmonidae.